GGUGCUGGGAAUUAGCUUAGUUGGUGAAAGUGCCUGUCUAGUAAACAGGAGAUCCUGGGUUCAAAUCCCAGCAGCACCU
Molecule: transfer RNA, 79 nt
Filed under: Perca flavescens (yellow perch)
Lineage: Eukaryota; Metazoa; Chordata; Actinopteri; Perciformes; Percidae
Description: tRNA-Thr
Rfam family: tRNA
About the family: Transfer RNA (tRNA) molecules are approximately 80 nucleotides in length.
Source: RNAcentral